AAUAAAGUAAGCUAAAUAAGCUAGUGGGUUCAUACCCCAAAAAUGAAUUUUUUUUCCUUUAUUA
Molecule: transfer RNA, 64 nt
Filed under: Amblyomma nuttalli
Lineage: Eukaryota; Metazoa; Arthropoda; Arachnida; Ixodida; Ixodidae
Description: tRNA-Met
Source: RNAcentral